GCAUAUCAAUAAGCGGAGGAAAAGAAACCAACAGGGAUUGCCCUAGUAACGGCGAAGUGAAGCGGCAACAGCUCCAAAUUUGAAAUCUGGCCUUCGGGUCCGAGUUUGUAAUUUGCAGAGGAUGCUUUUGGCGCGGUGCCUUCCGAGUUCCCUGGAACGGGACGCCCUUAGAGGGUGAGAGCCCCGUACGGUUGGACACCAAGCCUCUGUAAAGCUCCUUCGACGAGUCGAGUAGUUUGGGAAUGCUGCUCUAAAUGGGAGGUAAAUUUCUUCUAAAGCUAAAUAUUGGCCAGAGACCGAUAGCGCACAAGUAGAGUGAUCGAAAAGAUGAAAAGCACUUUGAAAAGAGGGUUAAAUAGCACGUGAAAUUGUUGAAAGGGAAGCGUUUGCGACCAGACCUCUUCAUGGCGGAUCAUCCGGUGUUCUCACCGGUGCACUUCGCCACGUCGAGGCCAGCAUCGGUUUCUGUAGGGGGAUAAAAGCUCUGGGAACGUAGCUCCUCCGGGAGUGUUAUAGCCCUCUGCAUAAUACCUUUACGGGGACCGAGGACCGCGCUUUAUUGCAAGGAUGCUGGCGUAAUGGUCGUCAACGACCCGUCUUGAAACACGGACCAAGGAGUCGAACAUUUAUGCGAGUGUUUGGGUGUUAAAACCCUCACGCGUAAUGAAGGUGAACGCAGGUGAGAGCCCUUACGGGUGCAUCAUCGACCGAUCCUGAUGUCUUCGGAUGGAUUUGAGUAAGAGCAUAGCUGUUCGGACCCGAAAGAUGGUGAACUAUGCGUGGAUAGGGUGAAGCCAGAGGAAACUCUGGUGGAGGCUCGCAGCGGUUCUGACGUGCAAAUCGAUCGUCAAAUCUGCGCAUGGGGGCGAAAGACUUAUCGAACCAUCUAGUAGCUGGUACGC
This 902-nucleotide ribosomal RNA is filed under the name Rosellinia nectrioides. Its description in RNAcentral is "LSU rRNA". It matches the Rfam family "Eukaryotic large subunit ribosomal RNA", at positions 38 to 959 of the family's 3401-position model. The record is from RNAcentral. Lineage: Eukaryota; Fungi; Ascomycota; Sordariomycetes; Xylariales; Xylariaceae.